Molecule: unclassified non-coding RNA, 476 nt
Filed under: Hevea brasiliensis (rubber tree)
Lineage: Eukaryota; Viridiplantae; Streptophyta; Magnoliopsida; Malpighiales; Euphorbiaceae
Source: RNAcentral
UCGGUGAACGCCCUACACCCUUGUAUAUUUCUCACUACACCCGGGCUCUGAUGUAGCGCGUCGUUAAUAGAGGACGCCUCAACGUUUAUAACUAAGAGUUGAAAAUUUUUUUCCGUCUUUUAUCUAGCUUCUUGACGUCUUAGUUGUGGUUUUCUUUUUAUGAAUUUUAUGGCUGCUUUAAGCUUUAUAGUCAUCUGGAAAAGGAUUUUCCUAUGCUUUGUGUUGUGCAAUUAUGAAAUGAUGUUUGUUUCAUUAUUUUUCAGAGUUUUUAACUUUCAUAUUAAUGCUAAAUUCCGUGUAUCUAUUGGGAGAUGCUUUAUCUUCAGUUUAACAAAUAUUCUGUUUCUGAUCCAUCAUUUUGUUUGCUUUAAAAUUUUUCUUGUAUAUGUAUAUGAUGCUUUAUCUUCAGUUUAACAAAUAUUCUGUUUCUGAUCCAUCAUUUUGUUUGCUUUAAAAUUUUUCUUGUAUAUGUAUAU